RNAcentral lists this transfer RNA (76 nucleotides) under Acidobacteriota bacterium. Its description in RNAcentral is "Acidobacteria bacterium tRNA-Asn". It matches the Rfam family "tRNA". From Rfam's summary of the family: Transfer RNA (tRNA) molecules are approximately 80 nucleotides in length. Their secondary structure includes four short double-helical elements and three loops (D, anti-codon, and T loops). Further hydrogen bonds mediate the characteristic L-shaped molecular structure. tRNAs have two regions of fundamental functional importance: the anti-codon, which is responsible for specific mRNA codon recognition, and the 3' end, to which the tRNAs corresponding amino acid is attached (by aminoacyl-tRNA synthetases). tRNAs cope with the degeneracy of the genetic code in two manners: having more than one tRNA (with a specific anti-codon) for a particular amino acid; and 'wobble' base-pairing, i.e. permitting non-standard base-pairing at the 3rd anti-codon position. The record is from RNAcentral. Lineage: Bacteria; Pseudomonadati; Acidobacteriota.
UGUAGGGUAGCUGAACAGGUACAGCGCUCGAUUGUUAAUCGAGAGGAUGUGGGUUCGAUCCCCACCCCUACAGCCA